Molecule: ribosomal RNA, 810 nt
Filed under: uncultured bacterium
Lineage: Bacteria
Description: bacterial SSU rRNA
Rfam family: Bacterial small subunit ribosomal RNA
Source: RNAcentral
AGAGUUUGAUCCUGGCUCAGAACGAACGCUGGCGGCGUGGAUAAGACAUGCAAGUCGGACGGGAUUUUCCGUUGUAGCAAUACGAUGGAAAGUCUAGUGGCGAACGGGUGCUUAACACGUGGGCAACCUGCCAGGAAGUGGGGGAUAGCUCGCCGAAAGGCGAAUUAAUACCGCAUGUGAUUAGAGAGGACAUCCUUUCGAAAUUAAAGUCGGGGCAACCUGACGCUUCUUGUGGGGCCCGCGGCCUAUCAGCUAGUUGGUGAGGUAACGGCUCACCAAGGCUUUGACGGGUAGCUGGUCUGAGAGGACGACCAGCCGCACUGGGACUGAGACACGGCCCAGACACCUACGGGUGGCAGCAGUCGAGAAUUUUUGACAAUGGGGGAAACCCUGAUCGAGCGACGCCGCGUGGAGGAUGAAGGUCUUCGGAUUGUAAACUCCUGUCAUUGGGGAACAAGGUGCAUACGUUAACUGCGUGUGCAUUGAUAGUACCCGAAGAGGAAGAGACGGCUAACUCUGUGCCAGCAGCCGCGGUAAUACAGAGGUCUCAAGCGUUGUUCGGAUUCAUUGGGCGUAAAGGGUGCGUAGGCGGCGCGGUAAGUCGGGUGUGAAAUCUCGGAGCUUAACUCCGAAACUGCAUUCGAUACUGCCGUGCUUGAGGACUGGAGAGGAGACUGGAAUUUACGGUGUAGCGGUGAAAUGCGUAGAUAUCGUAAGGAAGACCAGUGGCGAAGGCGGGUCUCUGGACAGUUCCUGACGCUGAGGCACGAAGGCCAGGGGAGCAAACGGGAUUAGAUACCCUAGUAGUCC